CGUAGCGAAAGUUACGCUAAUACCGCAUACGAUCUAAGGAUGAAAGUGGGGGAUCGCAAGACCUCAUGCUCGUGGAGCGGCCGAUAUCUGAUUAGCUAGUUGGUAGGGUAAAAGCCUACCAAGGCAUCGAUCAGUAGCUGGUCUGAGAGGACGACCAGCCACACUGGAACUGAGACACGGUCCAGACUCCUACGGGAGGCAGCAGUGGGGAAUUUUGGACAAUGGGCGAAAGCCUGAUCCAGCAAUGCCGCGUGAGUGAAGAAGGCCUUCGGGUUGUAAAGCUCUUUUGUCAGGGAAGAAACGGUGAGAGCUAAUAUCUCUUGCUAAUGACGGUACCUGAAGAAUAAGCACCGGCUAACUACGUGCCAGCAGCCGCGGUAAUACGUAGGGUGCAAGCGUUAAUCGGAAUUACUGGGCGUAAAGCGUGCGCAGGCGGUUUUGUAAGUCUGAUGUGAAAUCCCCGGGCUCAACCUGGGAAUUGCAUUGGAGACUGCAAGGCUAGAAUCUGGCAGAGGGGGGUAGAAUUCCACGUGUAGCAGUGAAAUGCGUAGAUAUGUGGAGGAACACCGAUGGCGAAGGCAGCCCCCUGGGUCAAGAUUGACGCUCAUGCACGAAAGCGUGGGGAGCAAACAGGAUUAUAUACCCUGGUAGUCCACGCCCUAAACGAUGUCUACUAGUUGUCGGGUCUUAAUUGACUUGGUAACGCAGCUAACGCGUGAAGUAGAC
RNAcentral lists this ribosomal RNA (726 nucleotides) under Oxalobacteraceae bacterium. RNAcentral describes it as "bacterial SSU rRNA". It matches the Rfam family "Bacterial small subunit ribosomal RNA", at positions 147 to 869 of the family's 1533-position model. The record is from RNAcentral. Lineage: Bacteria; Pseudomonadati; Pseudomonadota; Betaproteobacteria; Burkholderiales; Oxalobacteraceae.